CUGGCUCAGGACGAACGCUGGCGGCGUGCUUAACACAUGCAAGUCGAACGCUGAAGCCUAGCUUGCUGGGUGGAUGAGUGGCGAACGGGUGAGUAACACGUGAGUAACCUGCCCUCUUCUUUGGGAUAACGCCCGGAAAUGGGUGCUAAUACUGGAUAUUCACUGGUCUUCGCAUGGGGGUUGGUGGAAAGGGUUUUUCUGGUGGGGGAUGGGCUCGCGGCCUAUCAGCUUGUUGGUGGGGUGAUGGCCUACCAAGGCUUUGACGGGUAGCCGGCCUGAGAGGGUGACCGGUCACAUUGGGACUGAGAUACGGCCCAGACUCCUACGGGAGGCAGCAGUGGGGAAUAUUGCACAAUGGGCGCAAGCCUGAUGCAGCGACGCCGCGUGAGGGAUGGAGGCCUUCGGGUUGUGAACCUCUUUCGCUCAUGGUCAAGCCGCAACUGUGGGUUGUGGUGAGGGUAGUGGGUAAAGAAGCGCCGGCUAACUACGUGCCAGCAGC
Molecule: ribosomal RNA, 499 nt
Filed under: Schaalia meyeri
Lineage: Bacteria; Bacillati; Actinomycetota; Actinomycetes; Actinomycetales; Actinomycetaceae
Description: bacterial SSU rRNA
Rfam family: Bacterial small subunit ribosomal RNA
Source: RNAcentral